Mesocricetus auratus (golden hamster) is the source of this 168-nucleotide small nucleolar RNA. NCBI's taxonomy places the organism in Eukaryota, Metazoa, Chordata, Mammalia, Rodentia, Cricetidae. The record is from Ensembl.
ACCUUGUUGUUAAGCAGUGUGUUAAAAUGACAAAAAAGUAGGAUCAUGUCUUGGAUUUUGUAAGAAUGCUAAGAGAUUUCUCAGAACAAAAGUAGUUGCAUUGGAUCCCAAACACUAGAGUGAACCUCUUUCUUAAUAUCAAGUGCCUUAAUAUUUGGUGAAAUGUGU